This 11790-nucleotide long non-coding RNA is filed under the name Nicotiana tabacum (common tobacco). RNAcentral's name for it is "long non-coding RNA (NTAB_LNC019270)". The record is from RNAcentral. Lineage: Eukaryota; Viridiplantae; Streptophyta; Magnoliopsida; Solanales; Solanaceae.
UAGACCUAGAGAAAAAACAAAAAAUGGCAGCUCAUUUUCUACGCUGUUCAACGUUGCCUCUUAGCAGAUGAAAUCUGCAAAUUAUCCGUAAAAAUUGACUUCCUUCUCUCGAUUUGAACGCCCGCUCGUUCGAAUCUUAGUUUCUGAUACUAGCGUUGGAAGCAAAUUGGAGGAAUACCAAUAUUUGAAAUACAACAAGGAGUGGAAAUUGGAAUUCUCUCUCACUUCUAAUCCUUAUAAUUCCAACCAUAUACAAGCAAUGAUUGCCUCAAGUUUCAAUUAAUCCACUGAUCGUUGGUUUCUCUUUUGAGGCUGCGUAACCAUAUUUCUUUACUCAAUUCAAGUUGUCAGAUUUUUAGAGGUUUGGUUUGUCGUUUAAUUGAAGUCUCGUUUGGGUUCCGAUUUAUAAUUUUGGUGUUUUGGUCCAAAGAUUGUUGCUUUGUUUAGCCCGAUUGAGUUGCAAUUUCCGGAUUUCGAGCAUCAAUAAAAGGUCCAUUUCUCUCUUUCAUUAUCAUGAUUGUGCCGUGAAUGAACAUAUUUUCUUAAGCUUUUCUGUGUGUUAAUGUCAUCUUUAUUAUCAUGUGAUUGAUUUUGAUGUAAAUUUAUGGAAAUUUCUGUUUUUGAAUUAAUUUAGAAAGAAUAGAGUUUGACCAAUUGGAUUGCUAAGAUACGUGAGCUUUAGGAUUAAUUAAGAAAGGAGGCUUGGGUUGUAGAAGACUACUACUGCUUUCAUUUUGUUAUGUUUCUAUGAGCCAAAUAAAAUCUCAAAACCCAUGGCCCUCGUUUAAUUAAUUUUGAAUCUUUAGAAACCGAGGCGUGCCAUUUAGUUGAAUUUUCAUGGACCUCGCAAAUUUGCGAAUGCAUAGUUGCUCUAGGCGCGCUAUUUAAAAACUAGUUUUCCUAAACUCGGGUGCGCAUUUAUGUGACCCAAAUCCAAAUCUCAACAACGUUAGAUAAAAAUGUGUCGUAGACCAGGGGGUGCAUUUAUGUGACGUGGUUCGAGACGUAUUUUAGAUGACGUUGAAUCUUUUUCCUAAAAAAUAAUUAUUAAAUAAAAGCGGUUAUAAAGUUAAAAUUGAACAAUAGGCUAAAACAUGUAUUCUCUUCCGAUCUGUAGGCAAUUCCUUACCCGGAUUUCUGUGUUCGCGGACUGUAAAAUAGAGUCAAUCUUUUCCUCGAUUCGGGAUUUAAACCGGUGACUUGGGACACCAUAAAUUAUCCCAAGUGGCGACUCUGAAUUUUUAAUAAAUAUCCCAUUUCGAUUGUCACUUUAUGUUGGAAAAAACUCCAUUAUACGCCUUCCGGGGGUGUAGGUAAAAAAGGAGGUAUGACAGCAUGUAUGCAUAAGGUACAAGAAUGGUGUUGUGUUGCCUCAUGAAUUCCAAUCCACCUAUCUAUUUGAAGUCAUUUAUGAUCACCACACGCAAGUUGAAUUUUCCUACAAAAGUACCCAACUUCAUUGGCACUCCUUUGGCUAUUCCACCCAUUGGCUGAGGCGGUGAGUUGAUAUCCUUGAUAUGACCUCUGCCCUUUCCUACGACUAGACCAUGGAGCUCUAACUAAUUUGAGGCUAGGUAAUUGUGAGUAGCGCCCAUGUCUAUUAUCGCACGAAUGGACUUGCCAUUAACUUUCAUUUCGACGAACAUUAGGGUCUUCUCUUGGUCAAGAAGAGGAUUCUCAUCCGCCUCCAUUUUCCUUUUUUGGUGGUUGGGCAUCGGUCCUUCUUCUUACAGAUGCCGACACUAGUUCCCACUAAGGCCUUAGAAAUAGAGAAAACAAGUGUGUUGAAGGCACCUAUUGGUUCUGUCAGGUCAGCAUGGUCAUCAUCAUCAUCCGAACCAUAUCAAAAGUUUGAUUGGCAUUCAUUUGUGCCUGUGGGCAUUCAUUGUUUUAAUGCGGUUACCCGCAAUGAUGACAUUCUGAAGGGGGCUUCUUCCCCUAAUCAUUUUUGUGAGAUGCAACACUAUUGCUGCCUAAGGAAGGAGUCUUAGAUUUGGUUUCACUCCGAUCUCCUCCACUUUUUCUUGGGCCACCACCAUUGCUAGGCUGGGCCCCUUUGUAUCCUCCUCGGACAAGUGGUUGAGGCUUGUCCUUUCGAGCAUCAACUUUGUAGUCCCCUUGGCGUUCUGCUACUUGGAUCGCCUUAAGUAAAGUAUCUACCCUUUGUCUUUGUAGCUCUACACGGGCAUAAGAUUUCAAACUUUCUAGGAAUGUGAUGAGUUUCUCUUUGUCCACUACAUCGUGUAUGUUUAGCAUAACUGCGGAGAAUUCACACACGUAAUAUCGGACUGACUUGGUCUGGCGGAGAUCCCAAAGCUUUCUCCACAUAUUGUACUCAACAUUUUUAGGGAAGAACUGUAAGUGUAUGGCUUCCUUCAGGUCUCCCUAUGUCUCAAGAGUAUCUUUACAUGCCCUGAUGGCUUCGUAUUUCACCCGCUACCAUAGUAUAGCGCCACCCUGAAGAUAUAUGGUAGCAAUUACUACCUUUUUUGCUUCUUCUAACUCACCCAUGGCAUCGAAGUAUUGUUAGAUGUCAAAUAUGAAGUUCUCUAUUUCUUUGGCAUUUUGAGCCUAAUUAUAGGGCUUCGAUUCAGGGAUUUUAAGCUUUUGUGGAACAUGGGCAUGGUUCACAGCACCCCCAAUGUGGUUUCUGCCUCCACGGAGUAGGCCUUGUAAAGCAAUGUUGACAACAUUGAGCUGGUCCAUCAAGUUAUCUAUGGUUACUGUAUAGCAAUCACCAAGUAUGCCUCUUGUUCCCUAUUGGCUAAAUCCUCGGUCCGCUCUUGUUGGAGCCUCUCGAAUUUCUUGAAAAUUUUUGCCGCCUUUGUGGCUAUCGUUUGCCGUCUCCUUUAAAGUCGCGGCUGAUGUUUGCAAUGUCUCCUUCGGCCCGUCGCAUCCUGUAGUCCAGGUCAUCCAACCUUUUUACUAGUUUGGUUCUUAGACCAGGAACCUACUCGUGAUGGAUCGUAAUAUAUUAACCGUCUCUUCAAGGAUUGCAAUGCGAUCCCCAUGAAUCACCCUAGUCAGAAAUGAUGGCAAUGACAAUGUGUUCCCUUGUCCGAUGUUGAUCCUAUGCUCUGAUACCAACUGUUCUUGAGAUGUAUUAGAAGGGCAACAUGAGGCUAAGUAACCGAUGUCUGUGUGGUUACUCUUUGCCAAUUGGGGUCCCCUCUAUACGCUAGAUGAGACUAUUAGUGUCGUACGGGAAAAUUGAUGUCAAGAGAAUUUGUAGAACCGAAAAGAGAAAGAGAAUGAAAGAAAGCUUGAUUGCAUUAAUGAAAGCUAUUACAAAAAGGCAACAAGGUGUCAAAGGGGAGAGACACCAAUACAUAGAAUUGUUUGCUUGCUUGAAAGUUUGACUACUUGAUCCCCCUAAUAAUGCUUAAAAAAAUAAACCAAAGUUGCAUGACUUGAAUAAAUAAGCUAGAGAAUCAUAAUGAAAAUACAGGAAGUAGAACUACUCUAUAUUUACAACAAAAAUGACUUAUAUUGCUACAAGGUAAAAGCAGGUUUGUUGGAGGUAACCUUGUCUUUAGCAUCGGGGUUUGCGCGCACUGCGCUAGCCGCAUGGCAUGGAUCGAUUGCGUUGACAAUGGGAACGCACUAGGGCGCAGCCUGCCAUGGGCGUAAAUUUUCCUGUGACUGGGCAUUGGCGAGAGCUAUUGAUGGGGAGACAUAGGCACAGGCGCGCUUGUCACUUAGUGCGGUCAAGAGCACGGGACUAUCCAUGGCUCUAGGCUUUGGGAGGCUUGCCAGGAUGCCAUGUGGUGAAUCCAAGGGGUCAUGGGAAAUGGCUACUAAUACGAUGUCAUGAGCUAUUAGAAAUAUUAGACAAUAAUGCCUCAUAAUACAUCACUAUCUAAAAAAUAAUACAUAGUAGUAAUGGAUGAUAGAAGGUGACGCUAAGGAUCUGUACCAAUCAAGUAGCUUAACCUUGGGUCUCCAAUAACAGCUCCUAAGCUCCCUUUAGUACCAGGAUCAGUAUCUGCACAAAAGCGUGCAAAAGUAAAAUAUGCAUAUAAUAAUCUACGUGAGUACUCAGUAAGUAUUAAAUUUAAACUCACGUAGUGGCGAGGUUUUUGAUAAAAGAUACUCACUUCUCAUUACCAGUGCAAUUCAUAAACGCAAUAAUAGACAAAUCAUAAGAAACCGUGAAUAAAAUAUGCACAACCAAAGCAUGAUAUCACAUGCUUUCUCACAUAUCCUGAUCAAUGCAUAUGCUAAUGUGUCAAACAAUAUAUAAGGAAUAUUCAUAAAGUAGCAUUCAUAAAAAACACAUCACAAAAGUCUAUAAUGUAAUAAAGGCUCAAACUUCAUAACAAACUGAAACUAUCCAAAUGUUUAACAAACUUGCACAUUACCGGUGAUCAAUCUCAACGUGCGAUAAUCAUAUCCAAUCUCAAUGUAUCAUAAUCAUUUAUGCAGAUGAAGUUGCAUACGUAGAAAGCAUGACUAUCAACAAAGUAUGUAAUCCGAGAUUACAUACAUACAACAUUGAAAAGAUGCUAAAGGAGUUAUGCGACAAGAAGAGAUCAUAUAACACAUACAUGGCAUUAAGUACCUAAAGUAUCCCAAUAAAGAAGGCACAUAGUAUCCGCAUCAAUGCUCUUAACCUCUCAUAUAUGUUACCUUCAAAUACGUAGCACAUACAAAAUAAGUUUGUUUUAGGAAAAUUUCCUCAAGUCGAGGUUAAUCCAGAUACCUACAUACCUCUAUCUGAAUAAGCUUCAAUCUUCAAAUAUCUCUUUACCUUGCUCUGAAGCUUUCAAACGUCCAUAAUCUAGUCAGAAAGUAACUAACAAGGUCAAAUAUAGUUAUAGGACUAAAUUCCAUAAGAAGAGAUUCGUUCUUGAACAGGUUAACAAACAUCAACUAAAGCCAACCUUUGCUCACGCGGUCAAACCCCAAAAAAAGUUAAAUUUUGGUAAUCCAUAACCUCCGCAAUUCAACUAUAUAAUUAGAUUCUUAAUUUAAGUCUAAAUCGAUGUUCAAAUGCUUAAAAGUACUUUUUCUUUCAAGUUAAAAUACCUAUUUUCUACCUUCAAAUUCUAUAAUUUAAGUGCUAAACUUUGUGCGUAUUCAUGAUAUAUAAUUAUUAUCAAGUUAAGAAUACUUACCCACAAGAAUCAGGUGAAAUCUCUUCAAAAAUCUCCCUUGUACCAAAAAUGGUGAGAUGAGCUUAAAUCCCGAAUCUGGACAUUAAAUACACAUGAAGCCCAUUUUUUCAUAACGAUUGCAACAGAAGUGUCACGACUCAAUGUCCCACUUAGUCUUGAUGACACAUAAUCUCAACAUGUUAGGUAAGCCAAACAAUGAAUAAUACAACUCAAAUGAAAUAUCAUCAAUAACAAUAAAUAUGACGAUGAAUAUCUAUACAAAUACCCUAAGAAUUGAUAGUACAAUUUAUGAGCCACUAAGAUUUAGAUUUACAAAGUUGGUUCGAAGAAUAAAUACAAUAUCUGUUUGAAUGUACAUAAAUAGAAGUACAAAUACUAAACUACCAAGAACAAGUGGUAGCUUAUAUCUGGACCGCAUGCAUAUCUAAAAUGCUAGCCUUCGUCAUUCAUAGCAGCUCAUCUCCAAGAUCUGCACACAAUGUGCAGGUCACGACCCAAAAUCCUAACUAUGGGGUCGAGAUGGUGCCUAACAUCCACUUUCUAGGCAAGCCAACAUUAGCACAACAACUAAAGCAUUUUACCAUUUAAGAUUCAUUAAUAAUAAUAAUAAUAACGGUGAAAUAGCAUAAAUGUAUAAUAGAUGUACAACCAUCGUUCUCUAAGACUAUCCCCAGAAUCUGGUGUCACAAGUACAUGAGCCACUAAUAAUACUAAAUACAAGUUUGGAAUAGAAAAUACAAUACUAUCCAGUACAACUUCUAUAAUCUUUCCAGAGUUAUCCUUCGCGAUCACGAAGCACAAAGAUGAUCGCUUCCCAAAAUACACUGUGUUCGUGGCACACACCUCGCGUAUGUGAUGACCAAAGAUGCCAAGCCUUCGCGAAUGCGGCUAAGAUUCUGCGAACAUGGAGGAAAUUCCUCCGGCUCCCAUCUCUCCAACGUAAAUGCGACACAUCCUCGCAAAUGUAGUGAGCAAGUCACUGCGAACGUGACCACCUUGCCAUGAAUGCGAGGAGGAAAAGUACCCAUACCCAACAAACACCCAUCGUGAACGUAGAGAACUAAACUCCUCCAGUGAACUCCCUUAUUCGCGAAUGCAAUGGUACUCCUACAAACAUAGUUCACAGGCGACACCAACAAUGCAAACAUGAGAUAAAUGGUCUGAAACACAUCUGAAAUACACCCGAGCCCCCUCCCCUAUCCAAGCAUGCCAACAAGUCCCGAUACCUAAUGAAACCUUAUCCGAGAGCUCAAAAAAUCAUGAAUAUCAUCAAAACCAAGAAUCAACAACCAAGAUCAUUAUCUUAAGUUCAUAAGCUUCAAACCAAGCAUCUGAUUCAAGCCUAGCCAAUCUGGAAUGAACCCAAACUUUGUACACAAGUAAAAAUGAAAAAUAGAGUCUAUUCCAGCUUCCGAACAACAAUCCAAACCCCGAUAUCAUCAAAGUCAACUCCCGGUAAAAUAUAUGAAUUUCUUAAACCUUCAAAUUUCUAACUUUUUCCAGAUAGAGCCAAAUCAACCCAGGAACCUUCAAAUCCAAAAUCGUACAUACGUCUAAGUUCAAAAUCACCAUAAGAACCUAUCGGAACCAUCACAAUAUGAAUUCGUGACCGUUUACACAAAACUAAAACAUUGGUCAAUCUUCAACUUUAAGGCUCCAAAAAUAAAAAUUUCUCUUCCAAAUCAAUCCUGAACCUCUCGAACAUCGAAUCCAACUAUACAUGCAAGUAAUAAUGCAUCAUAUGAAGCUACUCAAAUUUUCAAACUACCGAACAGAAUGCAAAAACUCAAAAUGACUGGUCGGGUCAUUUCAUUCCCCCCCCACUUAAAUAUACGUUCGUCCUCGAACAUAUGAAGAGUUGUUCUAAAGUCACCAAGUCAUUGCAUAAACUCAUCGCACACACAUCCAUGGGUUAUCCCAUGCACCACAAUCCAUAUAAGGCCAUUAACAGAACCCCGACUGAAGAUGCUUUCUUCAACCUCAAUCCAUAAACCUUAGAACCAAAUACCAACAUCCAAAAUUCCCUAUGAGAUUCGAUUCUCACCUAUACACACUUUACAAGUCUCAACAAGUUGCAUCAAACCAUAACCAUUCCCAAGAUUUAACCAUUGAUGUACCACAUAAUUCAUGUACUCAUAGUGAUAUCUUUAGACUAUAAUAGCUGCUCAUUACCAAAUAGGGUGCAAAUUACAUACCUCAUAUCAUAUAAAACCUUUACAAACCUUCGUAACACUACUAAUGAUGAAAUAAAUAUGUAGAAGCUCAUAAUCAUUCUCCAAGUCAAUAAGUCGUGGAGCUCCCUCACCCAAUAAGCACAAUUGCCAAAUCCCAAGUUGAUUGAUGACAUUACUCUUCCAACAUACCUUAUCUCAUUCUGAUUACGUGAUUUUCAAGUCCAAUAACCUCAUCUCACCCAAUAUAAGUUGCUCGACCGACAUGCCACACCUAAUGCCACCUAGAGCUAUAUAUGACGCAAUCUAUACCCAAUAACCAAUAACUUGAAAAUAACUAAAGAUGGAAAAAGAACCAAAUGAGGGAACUAUCAAACAAAUCCAAUAGGUACAACCCCCAAUGACAUCAUAUAAUUAAUCGAUCCCACAAGGGAGAAGAAAAAAUACUAAAUAACCACAACAAAUCUCAUUCUAACAUAACCCCGCUGCGUCACGUAGCCCAGUCCAAACAUACCAAUCCACGUGGAAUACCCAUCGAGCCAUAAUGUUCACAAUCAACAACCACGUGUGUAUCAACAGAAAAUACGUAAAAUACAUGACCAUUACCAUAUAGAAAUGGAUAGCACAACAUACCAUCGAUAGGAAAGUAUGACUAAACUGUGCGCAAAAGUGAGCAAACCCGAGCUGAUGUAGGAUAUACAUUAUCGUUAGGCCUACCAACGGGCCCCUAAAUUAAUUUCGCUCAUCCAAAAUUAGGUAAAUAACCUUCCAAAAGUUCAUAGUAACCUCUCCAUUCAGCUGACUAACUCUUAACAUAUCUUCACAGUCCCCACCCAAGGAAUAGUUUGCCUCUGAGAACAUCUAGUCUCUAAAUCUCAAGAAUAUAGGAAUCUCCAUAUCUAAUCCCUACUCCAUCUCUCAAAUGAGUGACAUAUCACCCAUACACAAUCAUCUUGUGAAAAAUAAUCAUAAAAUCUUUUGUGCCACGUAGCACCUAAACCUCAGCAUCCAAAGACCAAGCGAUUACUGUACUAUCAGUCAAGUAUCCGCAAGUCAAAACAUAAUGAGUCUCUUAACACACACACACUUCUCAAGCGAUACCAAAUAGUACUAGCAUUUGCUAAAACAUCUAAAAUCGUCCAUGUUGUCUAGAACUCAUGACCUUCCCUUUCGAAACUAAACCGCAACCUUGUACUUGCAACUCACAAUUCCACGCAGUGCACCGCAUCUACCAUGCUAUCAUAUGAAACACUAGAAUCCCAUUAUCAACUCUAAAACACAAGUAGGAUAGAUAUCCCAUCAACCAUAAACCUUCCACUUAACUUAUUCCUAAAGAACAAAAUCACUACACGUAACAAACUCCCCAUGCCUGUAGAAUACAUCAUCAACCGCAAGUCGUGGCCAAACUAUCACAAACUUUUCGGAACCCAUUUUCACAUAAUCAAAUCAUUAGAACUGAUUCCUUCUAACUCAACCAAGUCACGCAGACUGCCAAACCCAAAAGUUUUGAUGCCAAAUACCAGUAGAGCUCUAUCAUACAAAAUGAACCGAUCAUUUCUUCUACUAUACUAAUCCAAAUCACUACUAAUUAGCUAACCCAACUUCUUCAGUUUCCUUUUGACUUUCCCUCAAGGUAACACUUCUCAUUCAUAAUAUUCUAAGACUCAUAACCACUUUGUUCCAUCUCAUGUACCUAAUAGCACCUCAAAUCGAGAUAUCGCUAUGAAAAGACUUUAUGCAAAUUUAGAGUUGUUUCUUUCAUCUCGCUAAUACUGCAAUGUAGAAUUAGUAAUGAUAUAAAAAUAUUACAAGUCUCAACACCAUCCAAUUCAAAUCUCAGAUCUUAGCCAUACACAAAUAUGAAGAUCCUUAAACACCAUAUGUAAAUCGUGAACUCAUUAGAACCUUCUCGAUAGCCAUCUUCUCCACUCUGACCUCUGAUCCACUAUAAAUAUCAAACUUGAAUGAUUCAAAGAUUUCCAUAUAUCAACAAAUUAUAGUACAUCAUGUAUUUAGCCAAUCCUUGCUCAAAUCAUCCUUGAAGUCAUCCUUUUCAAGUCAUAGAUAAUCCACAAACAUCCCUUAGUCCAAAAACAAAUGUAACACAUGACCAUGUGAUUCGAUUGUUGAUAGAAGGCUCCCCCAAUUAGCUCGAAAGCAUAAAACAACAUGUCUAUAGCCCACAAUGCCCUUCCUUUGUAGCUACCCCGAUCUUGCACUGUUAUUAAAUUGAAUGCUUCAUAAACGCAUGUAACACUAGUCAUAAACACUCCAAAUCAUCUUCGAAGUACACCCUCAUUCUCAUAAUAGUCGAGCCAACUUCUUCAAGUACUCCCAAAAAUUAGUACAUUCAUUCCACUAAAUAGCAGCCUCAUAUGAAGCACACAAACUCAGGUGUUUUCAUGGGAGAUAACCCAUCGGCUAGCCUCUAAUAUACAUCUUCCCAUGACCCUAUUUGGCACGUGAGCCGUCAGUGCGGUUAUGAGUUGUGAUGAGAGAACAAGAUGCCAAGUGUUAGGGAUUAGGUAUUGAGACCCAUAUUGUAUGAUGACGAGAUGGGGUAUUAUAGGGUAACUUAUAUUCGAAGGAUAUUUAUUUGAAAAGAUUAUAUUCGAAAGGUAUUUAUUUUGAAAGAACUAUGUUUGAAAGAUAUUUAUUUGAAGGAAGUAUAUUUCGAAAUAUCUUUAUUGGGAAGAUUUAUAUUCUACAUAUUUCUAUUCGAAAACUUAUGGGUGAAAGAUUUAUACUUGAAGGAUUUGACUAAUCGAUUGGAGUUUGUUGGCUAAGACUUGAUGUGAAAACUGCCGUAGUUGCUGAGUUAUUACUUGUCUUUACUGUAUUUGUGAUUUCGGAUUUGGGUUGUGUUUCCGUCCACACUUUUGUGUCCUUAUUAUGAUGUUCUACUGUGUUACAUCUCGCAUUUUCGUACGUUAAAAUUUUAUUUUCAGUUAACCGACGUAGACUCGGGGAUGAGAUCAUCUCGAUGUUAACAUAUUUACGCUUUUUAUAACAAGCGAUAAAUAAGUGUUAUGAAGGAUAAAGGGGUACACGGAUUAAAGGAAAUGAGUUUCGUUGAAAGUGGACAAUUUGGAAAACAUAUGGGUCGAGUGAUAAUACCCGAUAAUUAUGAAUUAGUACCAUGCAAAGUAUCAUAUAACCAUGGUAGUAUAAUAUAUAAAGUAUAUAUGAAUACUUUAUUACUGGGUAACAAGACAUUACCCAGUUAACUAAUAAGUGAGUAAAUAAUUAAUAACUUAACCCCACCCCCCACGCGUGGCAAUGAGCCACACACUUAGAAAAAUGAUUAAGUAGUCAUAAUUCUAGGUGGCUACAUAGAAUCAAAACUUAAAAGACUAAGCCUUAAUCUUAUCCAAAAUCUGUCAUGAGCUUCAUUUACUAUCUUGGAUCCAUUUCAAAUUUCAUUACUUUGAAAUUGAAACCAAGGAUAUUGAGGCAGAAUAUUUCGUCCAAUUCUUGCCAAGAGUUCAAGUGAAAAUUUCAAAGUUCAAUUAAAUUAAAUCCAUUUACGUUCUUGUUCAAAAAUGCUAGAGCAGAAUGCGACUUUAGCUUCUUUGGCUUUAUUUUGGCAUUGAAACCAAAGGAAUUGAAUCAGAUCAAUUCGUCCAAUCUCUUAGCCUCAAAUCUAUUCUUGGUUUUAAAACCAAGAACGUUGAACAGGUAUGUAAAGGCUCUCCCUUCUUUCUUUUGGCAUGGUCCAAAUUAUAUUGACGAAACGAGAAAAUACACAGUUUCUAUAAAUUACUCUAUUCACAGAAAUAGUAGGGUUGUCUAUAUUCUUGAUUCCCCAUGAGAAUUAUUAUUAUCUUCUGUUCAUGGGUCUUAGAAUAAAACGCAGUUGAAAAGGUUUAUCUGGAAGGAAUAUCGAGAUUAUUAUGUAUUUUUCAUUCAUUUCACUCAUUUAUACAUGUGCAUUGACUCAUGACCAUAUGGCAUUAUAUACGCGUAUAUAUGUAAAUAUAUGCAUAUGGGAUAUGGGAAAAGGUUACGGCGUUAUAUACGCACCACCACCUGAUCAGCUGGUAUAUGAUGAUGAUGUUGCCCACAUUGGCUGAAGUAUAAUUCAAACGACAUUAAAUAUGUGUAUAUAUGUAUGUAUAUGUAUAUGUAUAUGUAUAUAGGAUAUGGGAAGAGGUUAUGGUGUUAUAUACGCACCACCACCUGAUCAGCUGGUAUAUGUUGAUGAUGUGCCCACAGUGGCCGAGACGAUAUGAUGGGAUGCACUCACUGGCUUGAUGAUAUUAUGUACACUCAUACCUAUGCAUGACAUGACAUUUAUAUGCAUGUGCAUAACGUUAUAAACAUUUUAGAAUUUACAAAGUUAUUCAUUAAAGACAUGUUUAUAUAUUCUAUGUUUCAUUUAUGCCUGUCAUGUACUUAUUUUCAUGCCUUACAUACUCAGUACAUUUUUUGAACUGACGCCCUAUUUCACGGGGCCUACAUUCAUACUCGCAGGUGCAGGUAGGCAAGCUAACGGUCCCCCU